ACGCUAUUAACGGUGAACUGUCUGUAUCCGCUCCUCGAGGGCGAAUGCACUGGUAAAAGGGAGGGAGAGAAUGAGGGAAACAAGAAACACGUAAUCACCCAAAUAACCGUUUUAGUCCUUUCCCCCUGGAUUUGUGUCUUAAGAUAGCCUACAGUAUAUACUUCAAAGGAUACUCCGGAGGCCACGAGACUGUUCCAAUGGGACUUGAAGGGCAAUGCAGGGGAGUGGAAAGCAAUGAAGCUGCUACCUAGCUGGAUUUGAACUUCUAUCAACCAAUGAAAAAACUAUACACUGUAUAUUCAUUCUGGCACCAUGGCAACCCUUUUCUGGUUUAUAUGAGAACAGUAUCUGUUCAGGAAUAUAACUUUAUCACUUGUUCAAAUCAUUUAUCCCAAAUAUUUGCCUCAAAUAUCUUCGAAAUAUAACAUUAUUAACUCAGCCAGUAAAUAUGCAAACAUAUUUGCCAUAUCAAUUGCUUUUUUUCUUUCACUAUUUUACUAAAAUAAUAAUAUGUAUUGUGUUGAUACGUUGUGUUGUCAAUAA
Oncorhynchus tshawytscha (Chinook salmon) is the source of this 543-nucleotide long non-coding RNA. The record is from Ensembl. NCBI's taxonomy places the organism in Eukaryota, Metazoa, Chordata, Actinopteri, Salmoniformes, Salmonidae.